This 499-nucleotide unclassified non-coding RNA is filed under the name Hevea brasiliensis (rubber tree). Lineage: Eukaryota; Viridiplantae; Streptophyta; Magnoliopsida; Malpighiales; Euphorbiaceae. The record is from RNAcentral.
UUUUAAGAUGUUUGGAGGUUUUAAAGAGAAAAAAACUUCGUAAUCCACCAAUUUGGUGGAUUGGAAAUUAGAGUUUUUGGAGGUUUUCAAGACUUCCAAGAAUCGUACUUUAAAAAAACCACAUGUUCUCUUAACACAAAUUCAUGGUUUUCGAACCUUGAAAAACCUCCUAUUACUUUAAAAAAACUUCCUUCCAAACAAGGGGUUAGGUGGCAAUCAUUUUUAUUUUAGAGACGUCAUAAAGUAGGGAAGGGUCCUCCCCCCAAGAAGAAAAAAAAUGCCACAAAUCAACUAUUUUUAUUAUUGGGGUAAUGAUCUAAUAUUCCCUGAACUUUUUGGGCUUUCAUAAUGUAUCAUGUGCUUUUAUUAGUUUAGUUCUUAGGUUGCUGAUUUUAUUUCUUGUAUCUACUGGAUCUGGGGCAUGUGCGCAUCCUAAUGUUUUGUUGAGAUGAAAGGCAAUCUCUCAUGUAUUAUAGGAGGUGUAGAACCAAGAAUAGAG